UAAAAGGUAAGCUAAUAAAGCUAUUGGACUCAUACCCCUAUUAUAAAGGAUUCCCUUUCCUUUUUA
This 66-nucleotide transfer RNA is filed under the name Elateroidea sp. 5 KM-2017. RNAcentral's name for it is "tRNA-Met". Lineage: Eukaryota; Metazoa; Arthropoda; Insecta; Coleoptera. The record is from RNAcentral.